CAGCCGCCGCGGUAAUACGGAGGGAGCUAGCGUUGUUCGGAAUUACUGGGCGUAAAGCGCGCGUAGGCGGUUACUCAAGUCAGAGGUGAAAGCCCGGGGCUCAACCCCGGAACUGCCUUUGAAACUAGGUGACUAGAAUCUUGGAGAGGUCAGUGGAAUUCCGAGUGUAGAGGUGAAAUUCGUAGAUAUUCGGAAGAACACCAGUGGCGAAGGCGACUGACUGGACAAGUAUUGACGCUGAGGUGCGAAAGCGUGGGGAGCAAACAGGAUUAGAUACCCCGGUAGUCCCUGUCUCUUAUAU
Molecule: ribosomal RNA, 301 nt
Filed under: uncultured bacterium
Lineage: Bacteria
Description: partial 16S ribosomal RNA
Rfam family: Bacterial small subunit ribosomal RNA
Source: RNAcentral